CUCUGGGAGAGAUUGUCCAGUUCUGAGCUGCACCAAUGGCCCCUCCAGGCCUCACCCCUUAACACCCUGACUCAAUGGGGGCAACCCUGCGGAGUUUCAGAGCCGCCCGCGAGCCUGGGGGGUGUUACGCGGUGUGGGGAGAAGGGACUCAUUCCUUGGGGGUCCCACCUGUUAUGCCGUCGGGGGACAUCGAGGUGGAGAUACCCCGAAACCGUGGGCGCCUAGCCGGCUGCGAUCUGGCUAGAAGUACCAACUGUCACGCCGCCGCUUGGGCUGUGGGGGUGGGGCUGUGAUUUGGGGUCGGGCCCAGAGCUGCUCCGGACCCCGGCGGGCCACUACCCGGAGGAUCCUCGCCUCCCAGUUCUCGGGCCCCGCCACCGUCCGCUUGUCCAGAUAUGACAUCAAGCAACCUUUCCAGCACGCAGAACCUCUGAAAAGGUGCCCACUGACGCCUCCACCUUCUUCCCCACCCCAGCUGGGCUGGGGAGCCUCGCCGGUGGCCCGCCCCCUCCGAGCCGGGAUCCUAGCCGCCGGACCGCCCUCUGCGCCCACCCCCCGGGAGCGGCAGCGCUGGGGGAGUGCCCGCCAGGUACGCGCGCGGCACCGUGCGGGCUGCGCUCACGCCCCCUCGCCCCAAGGCUGCCCAACUGCCGCUCCCCGGGGUCAGGCCCACCCGCGAGACCGGUGUCCGAUCGGCCCCCGCGACCCGGAGGCCGGCUCUCUGCCCCCACCCCACGACUCACUUGCACCGGAGUCGCUGCAGCCGCCCGGAAUUCCGCUCGCCGAUCCCCCAGCCGCGGAACGAAAUCCGGGGCAGGGCAGCGUCCGGGCUCCGCACGGGAUCGCGCUCUUGGGUCGGCCUGCCAGGAGCAAGGGACUAGCAACCUGCCCGGACCGGCCCUUCCCACUCCCGUCCUGACCGCCGCCGCUGCCCCGGCCGCUGCCUCGCUGGUGCGAACGCUUCCGACUUGCCACCGCGAGCCUCCCGGGCUGACGAGCAUGCCCAGUCCGCGGCCCGAGCCGGCCCGGUUUCCCGCGCGACCCGAGUCCGCUCCUCCGGGUGUUCACGGCGGCCGAGGGGCGGGCCUGGCCGGCCAGGCGGAGUCCGCGGGGGGCUCUUCCGGGGACCAGGGGGGACCCGCACCGGACUGCACGCCACCGGGUGAUCGGGGUUUGGGCUUCAUUUAUUUUACUUUCAAGCGGUGGGAAACUGAGGAGGCGGGUGCUUCCCCCAAAGACGAGCGAGACCCAGCUGGACAGGAAGCCGCUAAGGGAGGAUGGACUGAAGCCGGGGUUUAUGAUCUGUGAUGAUAAACCGUUUAGAGCACAGCAGGAAAGUUGAGCCGCUGGAGCCGGUCAGAAUGCGGAGAACGGGAACCCAGCCUUCAAGGAAGCCAGGAUCGGGGCCCCAGUUGUCCAACUACGCUUGGAGUCUCUUUCCCAGCGUGCUCAAGAGCUGCGACACUUGUGAUUAACUCCUGGUUGGCCAUGUAUUUAGAAAGACUUCAAACUCUGGUGCAUUUUAAAACCUCUAUCCAUAGACUUCCAUCUUCCUACCCCCUCUCCCAAAAUAAUAGAGCUGCCUGAGCCAAAAGGCCCGCGAAGCCAGGGAAUGUGGAGUAUCCCGGAGAAGCUCCUAUCCUUGCUAAAAGGACUAGGAGCGCGUCGGGGUCGUCCCGCCCUGGCCCCACCUCUCGUCGCCCCUGCGAGCUGCGGCGAAAACCUGGAGAUUGGUGUGCCCGGGCGGGAGCCCUGCGCAUGCCCAGUAUAGUCCAACCCGGUGUGGGUCGCCCUAAGGAAGGUUUUCCUCUGCUCCGGGAGCGGAACCCCUGCGCCCGGGUUAGGGCGGGCGGCGGAGAAAGCUGACCUUAGGCUGCGGUGCCCUGCUUCCCUGAACGGCACGCGCGGCACCUUCUGUGGCUUCGAGGCUGCUCGGGGCUAUACCUCCCGCCUGGUCGGGGACUUCGCUGGCGGGGAGGGGGUGUGCGGGCGGUGUCGGUAUGACACGUGACUGUCCGCGGCGCUUCGGGCAGCCAUCUUCCGCCCGGUCACCCGGCCGGCCGCGGGCUGUCGGAAUUGAUCCCAGCGCCAGUGGGACAGAAGAGAGCCUCCUUAUCCACCACAUCCUCUCUCCCUCCAGGCUAGGGCCUCAGCUCCACACCUGCCUCCACCCGAACCUGGGGUGUCGGAAUCGCUGCACCGGCCCUCUGCUGGCCCAGAGGACAUGCUCUCGUUCUGACCAGACGCUAACGGCUGCGAUAUCGAGAGCUCAGAACUCCAGCAGUGGAUGGCCUCUGCUUUUUUCCCAGAGGAAGAAGUUGUAAGUGGGGUCCUCUUGCGUAAGGCAGCCGCCCCCCUGAUCUAACCUGUUCCCCGGGGCAGAGGCCUGAUGUGUUGGCAGGGAUGUCAGAACCGAGACUUUCGCUCCUCCCUGUGGUGCACUACCCACGAACCCUGCUGGUGGACAGCUUGGAUGGUGAUGAUGUGAAUAAUGAACAUUUAUUGCUCUCCUCCCCUGAAUCACUUGGGGUCUCCGUUAUCUCGGGGCCUACCGCAUUGCCAUCACCCAACAGCUUGUUAGAAAUGCAAAUUAUGGACAGAAUCAGAAACGCUAGGGAGGGGGGGGUCCUAAGGUCUGAUUGAUGUGUCCACCUGGCAGGUAGUUGUGAUAGAUGCUUUACACCUUGGUUUCAACAAAGCCCUAAACCCGUUUUUCAUGUGAGACCUUGAAAAGUUAGGUACUCUGUUCCAAAACACAGAAAAGUAAGGGAUUCAAAAUGAGGCAGUCUGUCCCAGUGCAGACUUUUUAUUGAGCACUCCACUCCAGCUUCUCUGACUUCUUCACCCUGAGGACACUGUUAGAGCUCUUCUCCAAGAGAGUAAGAAAAAAUGCAUUUGUCAUGCAUGGCUGUAAAAUAACAAUUGAAAUAAAGUUCAACUACGUGUUUUCAGUGUCUACUGGGAGGCUCUGUGAUUCAUAGGAGCUCUACUGGGUAUUUUUCGUCAGUUUGCACUUAAAAGGUGAAGGAAGGUUUGCUUUCUUGUGUUUUUUCCAGAUUAAAAAAGUGCCAGAAAACUGCUGGCUGUUUUCUCUUCAGUGUUACUAUGCAAAGUGUACUGUAAUCUUUAGACUCUGGAAAAUAAAGUCCAAGUAAGUAUCUGGUGUAGACUUUUUUCUUUAAAAUGCACCUCUCUGAUAUAAAGUUGAAUUAAAUUUUGCAAAAUAUUAACAGUUCUGAAAUGUAAGUGAUGUGUCUAGGAAGCUAUGGGUUUUUUUCCUAAUCUUCUGUAUGUUUAAAAUGAUUCAUAAUAAAAAGCUUUGUAAAUGACU
Molecule: long non-coding RNA, 3331 nt
Filed under: Marmota monax (woodchuck)
Lineage: Eukaryota; Metazoa; Chordata; Mammalia; Rodentia; Sciuridae
Source: RNAcentral